AUUGAACGCUGGCGGCAGGCCUAACACAUGCAAGUCGAGCGGAGCGGCGGACGGGUGCGUAAUGCCUAGGAAUCUGCCUGGUAGCGGGGGAUAACGUCCGACAACGGGCGCUGAUACCGCAUACUAUCAGAUGAGCCUAGGUCGGGUUAGCUAGUGGGUGGGGUAAAGGCCUACCAAGGCGACGAUCCGUAACUGGUCUGAGAGGAUGAUCAGUCACACUGGAACUGAGACACGGUCCAGACUCCUACGGGAGGCAGCAGUGGGGAAUAUUGGACAAUGGGCGAAAGCCUGAUCCAGCCAUGCCGCGUGUGUGAAGAAGGUCUUCGGAUUGUAAAGCACUUUAAGUUGGGAGGCGUUACCCGCAGAAGAAGCACCGGCUAACUCCGUGCCAGCAGCCGCGGUAAUAC
RNAcentral lists this ribosomal RNA (407 nucleotides) under uncultured bacterium. RNAcentral describes it as "partial 16S ribosomal RNA". It matches the Rfam family "Bacterial small subunit ribosomal RNA", at positions 30 to 526 of the family's 1533-position model. The record is from RNAcentral.